UGUAUAUAUAUAUAUGUGUAUAUAUAUAAUGUGUGUGUAUAUAUAUGUAUAUAUAUAUGUGUAUGUAUGUUAUAUAUAUGUAUGUUGUAUGUAUGUAUGUAUGUUGUAUGUAUGUUAUAUGUAUAAUAUAUAUACAGUAUAUAAUAUAUAGAUAGAUAGACAGAUGGAUGGAUGCAUGGAUGGAUAGAUAGAUAGAAUUACUUUAAUGAUCCCAGACUGGGAGAUUAUUUAAAAUAAUAUAAUAUAAUUAUUUAUAAUAUAUAUAUUAUAUGUAUAUCUACACAUAUAUGUAUAAUACACUACUCACAAUAAGUUAGGGAUAUUGUUAUUUACAUUUUUCAUAGGGAUUACAUGCGGUUCAGAAUGAUCACCCUUGGCAAAAAUGACUGGGGGAGACUCAGAUGGAUAGGAUUAACGAUGGACCAUCCAGUACAACAAGACAAGUGUAGCUGUGGGGUCAUCGUUAUGAAGAUGGCAAAGGCAGUAAUGGAGGCAUAUCCGGCGUUACCUGCCAUGUCCUUUGGCACCUCCAUGAAGGAGAUGGCGUCGGAAAGGACAAAGUUUGCCCUGGCAUUACUCAGUGACUCAGUGUUGGACCUGGAUAAUCACUGUGUGAUGUGCUGUGCUUCAAAGCCCCCUGUAUCAGGACCUCCAGUGACUCGUUGGAUACAGUGUGACACCUGCGAAAGGUGGUAUCACAAGGAAUGCCUGGAUUUGGAGGAAGAGAAACUCCUAAAAGCAAGGGCAGGCAACUGGAACUGCGACCUUUGCAAAUAA
This 777-nucleotide long non-coding RNA is filed under the name Sparus aurata (gilthead seabream). RNAcentral's name for it is "lncRNA (ENSSAUG00010004883.1)". The record is from RNAcentral. Lineage: Eukaryota; Metazoa; Chordata; Actinopteri; Spariformes; Sparidae.